RNAcentral lists this ribosomal RNA (301 nucleotides) under uncultured bacterium. RNAcentral describes it as "partial 16S ribosomal RNA". It matches the Rfam family "Bacterial small subunit ribosomal RNA", at positions 509 to 807 of the family's 1533-position model. The record is from RNAcentral.
CAGUCGCCGCGGGAAUACAGAGGGUGCGAGCGUUAAUCGGAUUUACUGGGCGUAAAGCGUGCGUAGGCGGCUUCUUAAGUCGGAUGUGAAAUCCCUGAGCUUAAAUUAGGAAUUGAAUUCGAUACUGGGAAGCUAGAGUAUGGGAGAGGAUGGUAGAAUUCCAGGUGUAGCGGUGAAAUGCGUAGAGAUCUGGAGGAAUACCGAUGGCGAAGGCAGCCAUCUGGCCUAAUACUGACGCUGAGGUACGAAAGCAUGGGGAGCAAACAGGAUUAGAUACCCGGGUAGUCCCUGUCUCUUAUAC